Monodelphis domestica (gray short-tailed opossum) is the source of this 887-nucleotide non-coding RNA. The record is from RefSeq and is a predicted model, not a curated record. Lineage: Eukaryota; Metazoa; Chordata; Mammalia; Didelphimorphia; Didelphidae.
UAGAUGACUGGUCCUUCCUGCAGCCAUUGGGCUAGAGAUCUGGACAGAGGGCAGACUCCCUCUAGUAUAGAGGGUCAGGCUAUCACCCAGACCCUCUGGGCCCUUUCCCUGAAGAAAUGGUUUUCCCUAAACUAUCGGAAUAAGAAGAAAUGGUUUUCCCUAAACUAUCGGAAUAAGUUCCUAGUGCUAGCCUCUAAGGAAGACUCCUCACAAAAGAUGGUGGACUAGAAAUCAGAAAAAAAUUGAAAAUUCUUUUUCUAAGCCAGACACUCGCAGGCUGGAUGACCUCAAGCAGUUCUCUCAUCCUUUGUCUUCCUCUGACAGUCUGGAGGAGGCUGCCUCGCAUAGGCUGGAACUGCAUGACUGAGGAGAGAGAAGGGUUAACACAAGGAUACGAGUCCCCCUUCGCCCCAGACAGGAUUCCCCCUUACUCACUGGAACAGGGGGCUGGUUUUUCUAGUGAUGGUGUCAGGGGCUGAGGCCCCAGCCAGAAUCCCCCGUGGAGGGGCCCACUGGUGAGACUUCAAGAAUCUGGAGGACCUCCAGGGAGGAGCUAAGGAGGCCAGAAAAUGGGAUAGGCACCCCUGCCAGAACCGGGGGACCUCACGCUGUUGUGUGGGGAUCUAGUGAAGAUUCCUGGCCUUGGAAGGAAUUCCUGUACAUUUCAGGGCUUCCCCGACUCCCUCCACUCCCCCUAGAGCAAACCCUUCCUCUCUGUCCCCCAGGAAGGGAAAGCUCGAGACCUGAGCGGCCCGGGCGUAGAAAAGGCGUCCUGGCGGCUCACUUUAGCACCAGAGUUCAGAGUCAAAGCCAGUGAUUUACAGAGACCAAGGAGACCAAGCCAGAGACAUGCGGAAGCAAAGGGAUAAUAAAAAUCAAAAUAUUUA